This 501-nucleotide ribosomal RNA is filed under the name uncultured bacterium. Its description in RNAcentral is "partial 16S ribosomal RNA". It matches the Rfam family "Bacterial small subunit ribosomal RNA", at positions 30 to 523 of the family's 1533-position model. The record is from RNAcentral.
AUUGAACGCUGGCGGCAGGCUUAACACAUGCAAGUCGAGCGGAGCGAGGGUGCUUGCACCUUAGCUUAGCGGCGGACGGGUGAGUAAUGCUUAGGAAUCUGCCUAUUAGUGGGGGACGACAUUCCGAAAGGGAUGCUAAUACCGCAUACGCCCUACGGGGGAAAGCAGGGGAUCUUCGGACCUUGCGCUAAUAGAUGAGCCUAAGUCGGAUUAGCUAGUUGGUGGGGUAAAGGCCUACCAAGGCGACGAUCUGUAGCGGGUCUGGGAGGAUGAUCCGCCACACUGGGACUGAGACACGGCCCAGACUCCUACGGGAGGCAGCAGUGGGGAAUAUUGGACAAUGGGCGGAAGCCUGAUCCAGCCAUGCCGCGUGUGUGAAGAAGGCCUUUUGGUUGUAAAGCACUUUAAGCGAGGAGGAGGCUACUAGUAUUAAUACUACUGGAUAGUGGACGUUACUCGCAGAAUAAGCACCGGCUAACUCUGUGCCAGCCGCCGCCGUAA